UAUUUUAUUUUAUUUUAUUUUAAUUUUAUUUUUGAGAGAGAAGCAUGAGCAGGCAAGGGGCAGCAGGAGAGGGAGAGAGAGUCUCAAGCAGGCCCCAGAGACCGCACAGACACUGACCCAGGGCUCGAUCUCAUGACCCUGAGAUGACUUCAGUCAAAAUCAAAAGUCAGACGCCUAACCAACUGAGCCACCCAGGUGCCCUGUCGUCGUUUUUAUAUGGUGCUAUUAGACCAAUACUAAUGAAAAGGGAAUUAAUAAAUUAAGGUAACCACUUAAAGGUAAGACAAAAUAAAAACCUUUAAAAUGAUCAGAACACCUACAUGAGCAAAGGAAGUAAGUCCCAUCUUGGAAAUUAUUUUAAAGCGAUGGAAUAUAAAAUGGAUCGGUGGGAUUGAUGGAAAGAAAAAGUGUAAAAUGACGGCAGAGACAAAACCAAAGAGCUGUCUUUCCUCUAAAGGUAAGGGGCCUGGAUAUACUUAUUUAAAUAAAUAGCCUCAGGUAGGAUUAUAAGGAAAACCCAAGUGCACAUCAUAGAAAGAAGAUACCUUUUAAAGUGAUUUGAGACCGCUGAAACUAAAAGGAUGGGCAAAAGGUAGAUCAGUGGUACAGGCAGAAAAUGACAGUACAGUUAACAGUGCUGGGAGGAGAAUUUAUAGCCUUAAAUAUUUGUAUCAAGAAAUAGGAGAACAUGAAAUUGGCAAACAAGAAGAAAGCAGUAUUCGCAACCUCACUGUGAAGCUGAAUGGGAACAAAAAGCAUAAAAAAGAUAGAGUAUAUAAUUCAAGAUGGAGAUGUAAAAGUUAUGAAUAUGUAUGAAAUGAUCAAAUUUUUCUUAUAAUAAUUUGAAUAUAUAUGUGUAUGUAUAUGUGUGUGUGUGUGUGUGUGUAUGUUUUAAAAUUGUAGUUAGCAUACAGUGUAAUAUUAGUUCCAGGAGUACAAUUGAGUGAUUCAUCCCUUCCAUACAUCACAGGUGCUCAUCACCAUAAGGCCUCUACUUAACACCCGUCCCGUCCUCAUCUAGCCCCUCCCCCCACACCUCCCUCCCUCCAUAAACCCUCAGUUUGUUUCCCAUCAUUCACCGUCUCAUGGUUUGCUUCCCUCUCUUUUUUCCCCCCUUCCUCUAUGUUCAUCUGUUUUGUCUUAAACUCCACAUAUGAGUGAAAUCAUAUGGUAUUUGUCUUUCUCUAACUUCGCUUCACAUAAUUCCCUCUAGUUCCAUCCAUGUCAUUGCAAAUGGAAAGAUUUCAUCUUUUUUGAUGGCUGAAUAUUAUUCCAUUGUAUAUACACACCACUUCUUCUUUAUCUAUUCAUCAGCAGAUGGACAUUUGGGUUCUUUCCAUAGUUUGGCCAUGGGUGAUAAUGUUGCCAGAAAAAUCAGGGUGCAAGUACCCCUUCGAAUCAGUAUUUUUGUUUCUCUUGGAUAAAUAACUAUGAGUGCAAUUGCUGGGUCAUAUGGUAGUUUUGUUUUUAACUUUUUGAGAACCUCCAUACUCUCUUCCACAGUGCCUACACCAGGUAAAAUGAUCAAGUUUUUCUUAACAGAAAUUAGAAAAAGUACCAGGGGUGACAGAGAGAAACAAACUAGUAAGUGGAGUUUUUUUUUUUUUUUUUUUCCCCAGCCCAGGACAGAGCAAGUGCAUAAAAGAUAAAGGUUUAGAAGACCCGCACAUAAUAAAAUAACUUGACUCUUCUAUAUCAAAUUCUUGGCUUUUUUUAAGUUUCAGAAACAUUUACCAAAAUUAUGUUACUUACUCACUUAUUUAAUGUUUGUCUACUUCCACUAAAUCAUGAGCUCAACGAAAUGGGAAAGGAACUUGUCUUGUUAACCCUAUUUUCUCAGGAACUAACAGAGGUGACCAGAAAACAUUUUCAAAUAGGUGAGAGAACACUUGAUUCACAAAAGAAAAAUACAAAUGUCUAGCAAGUCCAUGGGGAGGAAAAGCACAACUUUAUAAACAAAGGUACUUCUGUUGAAGUAACAUUAGAAUCCCAUCUUACCUGUCAAAUUGGCACAACUUAAAAAACAUGCUGUAAGUCCUUGCUUCACUUAUAAAUGCAUACCUCAAUAAUGUGUUGAUCCUGCAAAAUGUCAAACAGAACAGAUAACACGAAGUAGUUCUUUGCAGUUCCUAAUCCCCUCAUUCGAACAUCCAAGGUGAGCCGUGACCUUGAGGAAAUGUACUACUCCUGUAAGGGUGUAAGGUCAUAUCCCAACUUUCCCCUUAUUUCAGUGGGUGGCCUGGCCUGAGGCAGGUUGCAUAUCUGUCCUGACAGGCCCCAAACAGAGGCCAAGCUCCUCCCCAACAGCUCCCAGGAGCUCUGUGCUUAGCUGUCUUUGCCCCCACAUCGUCAGUCUGCCCCAUCGGAAGCUCUCCCUCCACAGAGCAUCUCCCCAGGCUGGUGUUUAUCUUGCUGCUGACAUUUAAAUUUGCUACCUGGAACUCAGAGGACAUUUCCAUAAAACUAUAAAUGUUCAUAUUUCUAGAAAGGUCUACAGGGGUUACUGGUUCACUCGCCUACCUCUUCCUGCAGCACAGCACCCUCACAGAUUCUGAUUAAGUGGCUAAGAUCAGGACUCCAGCCUGCACCUGGGAAUGGGCCCCAAAUGUUGGUAUUAGCAAAACAGAACAGAAAGCAGGAGAAAAAGGAUUUUGAAGAAAAUUCCACAUCCAAAUAAGGAUGUCUUACUGUACUUCCUCCUUCAAGUUCAUCUGGGGAUUUGACCCCCUCUGCCUUCUAGUCUUACCACCUGCAGUAAUGAUAAGAACUCAUCUAAGCUACAUCCAGCGGGACGAUUUGAGUCCCCGUCCAUGAAGGAACCACGGGUUGGGGCAUAUGCCUACAUCCCUGUUCUUCUGGGUAAGAAUGAUGUCAAGGCCAGCUGUCAUGCUAAAACCCUUACAACUGCAUGUGUCCCUGAUGUGUGGGCUCCCACUAUGAUUAUUUGAGUAAAGACCUCUGGUUAAUGACAGUGAGCUGAGCACAUGCUCCCUCCUAAUGGUGAAACCAUGAACCAGGAUGAAGAGAAAGUGAGCGGAAUUAAGAGGAAGGACAUUUGGGAAGAUGGGGAAGCAAACAGAUUCAUGGUAACUGGCUUAGCAGACCCGAGCUCAGGAUGCUGAUAGGAAAGCAAGAACAGAGGCGUUUGAACACCAAGUCCAGAGGAGGCUGCAGACCCGCUGUUUGUAUCCCUUUCAAGUCAGGAGUGCGAAUGGACAUCUCCCUCUAGAAAUCCACUACAGUUCUAGAAGCUGCCUGAGUUUCUGGGCUCUGUGGUCCCCCUUCUCCACCUUCUCAGCCAACGACAGGCAUCUCUCCGAUCCUGCUGCGGGGACCAUUUCUCUCUCUGAACUUCGUUUUGUGCUUAUUUUUGUAAUCACUCACCGGGAAAGGACAUCUGUGUUGUUUCCAGUUUGGGGCUAUUAUGAAUAAAGCUGCUAUGAACAUUCA
This is a long non-coding RNA of Mustela lutreola (European mink), 3450 nucleotides long. RefSeq lists it as uncharacterized. The transcript has 2 exons. NCBI's taxonomy places the organism in Eukaryota, Metazoa, Chordata, Mammalia, Carnivora, Mustelidae. The record is from RefSeq and is a predicted model, not a curated record.